AUGAACGCUGGCGGCGUGCCUAAUACAUGCAAGUCGAGCGCACGGACGAGAAGCUUGCUUCUCUGAUGUUAGCGGCGGCCGGGUGAGUAACACGUGGAUAACCUACCUAUAAGACUGGGAUAACUUCGGGAAACCGGAGCUAAUACCGGAUAAUAUUUUGAACCGCAUGGUUCAAAAGUGAAAGACGGUCUUGCUGUCACUUAUAGAUGGAUCCGCGCUGCAUUAGCUAGUUGGUAAGGUAACGGCUUACCAAGGCAACGAUGCAUAGCCGACCUGAGAGGGUGAUCGGCCACACUGGAACUGAGACACGGUCCAGACUCCUACGGGAGGCAGCAGUAGGGAAUCUUCCGCAAUGGGCGAAAGCCUGACGGAGCAACGCCGCGUGAGUGAUGAAGGUCUUCGGAUCGUAAAACUCUGUUAUUAGGGAAGAACAUAUGUGUAAGUAACUGUGCACAUCUUGACGGUACCUAAUCAGAAAGCCACGGCUAACUACGUG
This 496-nucleotide ribosomal RNA is filed under the name uncultured bacterium. RNAcentral's name for it is "partial 16S ribosomal RNA". It matches the Rfam family "Bacterial small subunit ribosomal RNA", at positions 29 to 507 of the family's 1533-position model. The record is from RNAcentral.